RNAcentral lists this ribosomal RNA (371 nucleotides) under uncultured bacterium. Its description in RNAcentral is "bacterial SSU rRNA". It matches the Rfam family "Bacterial small subunit ribosomal RNA", at positions 28 to 389 of the family's 1533-position model. The record is from RNAcentral.
GACGAACGCUGGCGGCGUGCCUAACACAUGCAAGUGGAGCGACGGACCAGGCUUCGGCCUGGGGCCAAGCCGCGAACGGGUNAGUAACACGUGGGCAACCUGCCCCGAUGACCGGGACAACCCGAGGAAACUCGGGCUAAUACCGGAUGUGCUCGGCUCACACAAGUGAGCUGCGUAAAGGAAGCUUCGGCCUCCGCUUCGGGAUGGGCCCGCGGCCCAUUAGCUUGUUGGUGAGGUAACGGCUCACCAAGGCUGCGAUGGGUAGCUGGUCUGAGAGGACGAUCAGCCACACUGGGACUGAGGACACGGCCCAGACUCCUACGGGAAGGCAGCAGUGGGGAAUCUUGCGCAAUGCGCGAAAGACGUGACGC